RNAcentral lists this ribosomal RNA (476 nucleotides) under uncultured bacterium. Its description in RNAcentral is "bacterial SSU rRNA". It matches the Rfam family "Bacterial small subunit ribosomal RNA", at positions 28 to 507 of the family's 1533-position model. The record is from RNAcentral.
GAUGAACGCUGGCGGCGUGCCUCAAACAUGCAAGUCGAGCGGGGCUAUGUAAUAUCGCAAGGUAGAACAUAGCCUAGCGGCGAACGGGUGAGUAACACGUGGGUAACCUGCCUGGAAGACAGGGAUAACGAUUCGAAAGGGUCGCUAAUACCUGAUAAUAUCCUUUCAUCGCAUGGUGAUAGGAAGAAAGGGGAAACCCGCUUUCAGAUGGGCCCGCGUCCCAUCAGCUAGUUGGUAAGGUAAAGGCUUACCAAGGCGACGACGGGUAGCCGGUCUGAGAGGAUGUACGGCCACACUGGGACUGAGAUACGGCCCAGACUCCUACGGGAGGCAGCAGUUGGGAAUCUUAGGCAAUGGACGAAAGUCUGACCUAGCGACGCCGCGUGAGGGAAGAAGGCCUUCGGGUUGUAAACCUCUGGUCAGUGGGGAAGAAGGUAAGUGACGGUACCCAAGAGGAAGCCCCUGCUAACUACGUG